GACGAACGCUGGCGGCGUGCUUAACACAUGCAAGUCGAACGGAAAGGCCCCUUUGGGGGUACUCGAGUGGCGAACGGGUGGGUAAGACGUGCGUAACCAGCCCUUGACUUCGGGAUAACUUAAGGAAACUGGGGCGAAUACCGGAUAGGAAUCCUUGCUGCAUGGUGGGGGUUGGAAAGCUUCGGCGGGUUUGGGUGGACUCGCGGGUUAUCUGCUUGUUGGUGGGGGAGUGGGUUACCUAGGCUUUGACGGGUAGCCGGCCUGGGGGGGCGACCGGCCACAAUGGGACUGAGGUACGGCCCAGACUCCUACGGGAGGGAGCAGGGGGGAAUAUUGCACAAUGGGCGGAAGGCGGAUGCAGCAACGCCGCGGGCGGGAAGACGGCCUUCGGGUUGUAAACCGCUUUCAGCAGGGGCGAAGCUUGUGGUGACGGUACCUGCAGAAGAAGCACCGGCUAACUACGUG
This 465-nucleotide ribosomal RNA is filed under the name uncultured bacterium. Its description in RNAcentral is "partial 16S ribosomal RNA". It matches the Rfam family "Bacterial small subunit ribosomal RNA", at positions 28 to 507 of the family's 1533-position model. The record is from RNAcentral.